ACGAACGCUGGCGGCAGGCUUAACACAUGCCAGUCGAACGCCCCGCAAGGGGAGUGGCAGACGGGUGAGUAACGCGUGGGAAUCUACCCAUCCCUACGGAAUAACGCAUGGAAACGUGUGCUAAUACCGUAUACGCCCUACGGGGGAAAGAUUUAUCGGGGAUGGAUGAGCCCGCGUUGGAUUAGCUAGUUGGUGGGGUAAAGGCCUACCAAGGCGACGAUCCAUAGCUGGUCUGAGAGGAUGAUCAGCCACAUUGGGACUGAGACACGGCCCAAACUCCUACGGGAGGCAGCAGUGGGGAAUAUUGGACAAUGGGCGCAAGCCUGAUCCAGCCAUGCCGCGUGAGUGAUGAAGGCCUUAGGGUUGUAAAGCUCUUUCACCGGAGAAGAUAAUGACGGUAUCCGGAGAAGAAGCCCCGGCUAACUUCGUG
RNAcentral lists this ribosomal RNA (430 nucleotides) under uncultured bacterium. RNAcentral describes it as "partial 16S ribosomal RNA". It matches the Rfam family "Bacterial small subunit ribosomal RNA", at positions 29 to 507 of the family's 1533-position model. The record is from RNAcentral.